This 248-nucleotide unclassified non-coding RNA is filed under the name uncultured fungus. Its description in RNAcentral is "sequence contains ITS2". The record is from RNAcentral. Lineage: Eukaryota; Fungi.
AACGCACAUUGCACCCUUUGGUAUUCCGAAGGGUACACCUGUUCGAGCGUCAUUAAAUUCUUCAAGCUUUAUGGCUUGGUAUUGGUUAAAGUUCAUUUUGAACUCUUCCAUAACUUAUUAGACAAAAACUUUUUAACUUUAAACGUAACAAGAAAACUUUCAUCGUUUUGUUGUUAAAAAAGUUUCUUGUCUUUUAAAACUCUUUUAAACUUGACCUCGGAUCAGGUGAGGAUACCCGCUGAACUUAA